This is a long non-coding RNA of Heterocephalus glaber (naked mole-rat), 503 nucleotides long. The record is from Ensembl. Lineage: Eukaryota; Metazoa; Chordata; Mammalia; Rodentia; Bathyergidae.
GCUUUCAGCAGGAGCCAAUCCUCGGUGGCGGGUCGCGGCCCUGUCUGUAUCGGGCGGAAGGUCCUCGUGAGGCUCGUUAGCAGACAUGUUGGUCCAGGACAGCAGGCUUGCCCUGCCACUCCCAAAACUAUCGGGCGCCCUGAGUCUGAAUUUACUGCUAAUGACUGCUCAUAAAGAUAAAAAUAAAGUCAACAAAGGCAUAGAGUAAAACAGGGAGGAACCAGCUUUGAUGUUGCCGGUUACUCCCAUAAAAAUACGGACCUCCAGUUAAAUUUGAAUUUCAGCUAAACAACCAAUAAAUUUUCAGUUAUGGUGCUUGGCACGUGGCCAGCAGUGUUUUCCGUGCUGAUGAGACUGCAGGAGGAUGAAACAGACAAAAAUCUCUGCUUGCAUCCUAGCAGGGAAAGACAGACACGAGCAAGAUGUCCACGUCUUACCUCAGAACACCUCAGGACCUUGCACUUGCCAGGCAGGCACAGUGCCACUGAGCCACAUCCCCGGCC